AAUAGUCCUGUAUGUUAAACGAGAAGACUUCAGAUAUGAUCCAGAGUACCACGGGACACGUGAAACCCUGUGGGAAGCAGGAGGGACCACCCUCCAAGGCUAAAUACUACCUAGUGACCGAUAGCGUAUAGUACCGUGAGGGAAAGGUGAAAAGAACCCCGGGAGGGGAGUGAAAUAGAACCUGAAACCCUGCACUUACAAGCUGUGGAAGCACAUUUCUUGUGUGACCGCGUACUUUUUGUAGAACGGGCCAACGAGUUACGUUAAGUAGCAAGGUUAAGCACUUAAGGUGCGGAGCCGUAGCGAAAGCGAGUUUUAACUGAGCGUUCAGUUACUUGACGUAGACCCGAAACCGGGCGACCUACCCAUGAGCAGGAUGAAGCGAAAGUAAAAUUUCGUGGAGGUCCGAACCCACGAGCGUUGAAAAGCUCGGGGAUGACUUGUGGGUAGCGGUGAAAUUCCAAUCGAGCCCGGAGAUAGCUGGUUCUCCCCGAAAUAGCUUUAGGGCUAGCCUCAAGGUGAGAGAUACGGAGGUAGAGCACUGAAUGUCCUAGGGGGUAUUGCACCUACCGAAGACUAUCAAACUCCGAAUGCCGUCAUCUUAUACUUGGGAGUCAGACUGUGGGUGAUAAGAUUCAUAGUCGAAAGGGCAACAGCCCAGAUCGUCAGCUAAGGUCCCUAAAUGUAAGUUAAGUGGUAAAGGAUGUGGGAUUGCACAGACAACCAGGAUGUUGGCUUAGAAGCAGCCA
Molecule: ribosomal RNA, 749 nt
Filed under: Clostridioides difficile
Lineage: Bacteria; Bacillati; Bacillota; Clostridia; Peptostreptococcales; Peptostreptococcaceae
Description: partial 23S ribosomal RNA
Rfam family: Bacterial large subunit ribosomal RNA
Source: RNAcentral